AGGGUUUGAUCCUGGCUCAGAACGAACGCUGGCGGCGUGCCUAACACAUGCAAGUCGAACGAGAAAGUCUCUUCGGAGAUAAGUAAAGUGGCGCAAGGGUGAGUAACGCGUGAGUAACCUGCCCUAAAGUCUGGGAUAACCCAUCGAAAGGUGAGCUAAUACCGGAUAAGCCCACGGGUCGAAAGAUCUGUGGGAAAAGGUGGCCUCUAUUUAUAAGCUAUCACUUGAGGAUGGGCUCGCGUACCAUUAGCUUGUUGGUGGGGUAAUGGCCCACCAAGGCUACGAUGGUUAGCUGGUCUGAGAGGAUGAUCAGUCACACUGGCACUGAGACACGGGCCAGACUCCUACGGGAGGCAGCAGUGGGGAAUAUUGCGCAAUGGGCGAAAGCCUGACGCAGCAACGCCGCGUGGAGGAUGAAGGCCUUUGGGUUGUAAACUCCUGUCAAGUGGGAAGAAACAUCCUUCGGCUAAUAUCCGGGGGAAUUGACGGUACCACUGGAGGAAGCAUCGGCUAACUACGUGCCAGCAGCCGCGGUAAUACGUAGGAUGCAAGCGUUGUUCGGAAUUAUUGGGCGUAAAGAGCGUGUAGGCGGCUUUGUAAGUCAUUGGUGAAAUCCCUCGGCUCAACCGGGGAACUGCCUUUGAAACUGCUUAGUUUGAGUACGGGAGAGGAAAGUGGAAUUCCCAGUGUAGCG
This 694-nucleotide ribosomal RNA is filed under the name uncultured bacterium. Its description in RNAcentral is "bacterial SSU rRNA". It matches the Rfam family "Bacterial small subunit ribosomal RNA", at positions 8 to 680 of the family's 1533-position model. The record is from RNAcentral.